This 265-nucleotide ribosomal RNA is filed under the name uncultured bacterium. Its description in RNAcentral is "partial 16S ribosomal RNA". It matches the Rfam family "Bacterial small subunit ribosomal RNA", at positions 793 to 1055 of the family's 1533-position model. The record is from RNAcentral.
GUCCACGCUGUAAACGAUGAGCACUAGGUGUCGCGGGUAUUGACCCCUGCGGUGCCGCAGCUAACGCAUUAAGUGCUCCGCCUGGGGACUACGGCCGCAAGGUUAAAACUCAAAGGAAUUGACGGGGGCCCGCACAAGCGGUGGAGCAUGUGGUUCAAUUCGACGCAACGCGAAGAACCUUACCUGGGCUAGACAACGGAGGAUCGCUCCAGAGAUGGGGUUUUCCCUUCGGGGACCUCCGGUUCAGGUGCUGCAUGGCUGUCGU